GAUGAACGCUGGCGGCGUGCCUAAUACAUGCAAGUCGAACGCAUAGCGAAAGGUGCUUGCACCUUUCAAGUGAGUGGCGAACGGGUGAGUACCACGUGGACAACCUGCCUCAAGGCUGGGGAUAACAUUUGGAAACAGAUGCUAAUACCGAAUAAAACUUAGUGUCGCAUGACACAAAGUUAAAAGGCGCUUCGGCGUCACCUAGAGAUGGAUCCGCGGUGCAUUAGUUAGUUGGUGGGGUAAAGGCCUACCAAGACAAUGAUGCAUAGCCGAGUUGAGAGACUCGUCUGCCACAUUGGGACUGAGACACGGCCCGAACUCCUACGGGAGGCUGCAGAAGAGAAUCUUACACCAUGGGCGAAAGCCUGAUGGAGAAACGCCGCGUGUGUGAUGACGGCUUUCGGGUCGUAAAGAACUGUUGUAUGGGAAGAACAGCUAGAAUAGGAAAUGAUUUUAGUUUGACGGUACCAUACCAGAAAGGGACGGCUAAAUACGUG
This 497-nucleotide ribosomal RNA is filed under the name uncultured bacterium. RNAcentral describes it as "partial 16S ribosomal RNA". It matches the Rfam family "Bacterial small subunit ribosomal RNA", at positions 28 to 507 of the family's 1533-position model. The record is from RNAcentral.